GUGAUCAAGUGAUCCAAAAGAGGAAGUUCAGCAUUGGGCAGUUCAAGCAAUUUGCCUCGGAACAAACAGAAUCUGAACUCAGACUCCAGAAGACAAGCUCUUCACCAUGAAACAAUGCUGCUAUGAAUCACUGCACAGAUCUACUCCAGGAAACAGAAGCACUUUCAGGAAAAACUCACAUGUGUUGGUUGCUGGCUCACACUGCAGUGAUAAUGUUUGAAGACUCUCCUCAUCCAUUUCGAGCUCCAAAUUGGACAGGUACUGCUUCACUUUUCGA
Talpa occidentalis (Iberian mole) is the source of this 277-nucleotide long non-coding RNA. RefSeq lists it as uncharacterized. The record is from RefSeq and is a predicted model, not a curated record. The transcript has 3 exons. NCBI's taxonomy places the organism in Eukaryota, Metazoa, Chordata, Mammalia, Eulipotyphla, Talpidae.